Neoarius graeffei (lesser salmon catfish) is the source of this 953-nucleotide long non-coding RNA. RefSeq lists it as uncharacterized. The transcript has 3 exons. Lineage: Eukaryota; Metazoa; Chordata; Actinopteri; Siluriformes; Ariidae. The record is from RefSeq and is a predicted model, not a curated record.
AGCCCCAAGUGGAUGAACUGCUGAAGAAGAUCAAUUUAAUGUAUGAACAAAAUCAUAAAGAAUAUUACACAGAUUCUGAUCACAAAAAAGGAAUGCCAUCUUCAAGCAGUGGUUGGUUUAGUCAUGCAAAAACAACGGUCACAACUGGUUUAACAGGAAUCAGGACUCAUCUGGGAUUGUCUGAUUAGCCUAACAAGGAGGUUCGGGGUUCAACUCUGUGGACUGACUAGAGGACUUUCUGUGAGAGGAUUGCAUGUUCUCCUCGUGCCUGCAUACCUCGUCCUUGGAGUGCUCUGGUUUCCUCCCACACUCCAAAGACAUUAGAUCUACUGACUAAACUCACCAUAGGUGUGAGUGUGAAUGGCUGUCUGUCUCUCUGCAUUAGGCCCGUGAUAGAGUUAGGGCGAUCUGUCCAGGUGUACCCCACCUCCUGUCCAGUGUCAGAUGGGAUUGGCUUCACCUCAUCCAUGACCUGUUAUGGAUAAGCAGUAUAGAAAAUAGCUGGAUGAUGUAAAACCACCAUCAGCUCACUCUCUCUUGGUGUGGUUAUGUGAAAUGUACUAUACAUUGCAAUUCAUGCUUGUUAUUUUUCCUUUUUGAUUGUAAACCAAUGUAUAUUGCACUUUCUUGUAAUACUAUCCAUUGUAUCAUGAAAUUUUACAGAUAUCAUAACCUUAUCAUUUGUAUUUACUGGCUUGUUUUGUGAUUCGUGUUUGUAGCUCCUCAACAAUAAACAAGAAUAAAAUACAGAUAAACUGCAACUGUUCAACUGCUGAUCCCCCCCCCAAUUUUUAAAAUUAUGUCUACAGCAUAUAAUUUGUACAUUUUAUUGGCAUUGUUUUAAAAUGGGGCAGGGAUAUAUGAUUCAGUGAUUCGUCUGAGUAUUUGUUUUAUUUAUGAUGCUUGGGUUUUUGUCAUUAAUCAGCUAUAAUAAAAACACUUGGAAAAAUAAA